GUCCCUUCGGGAACAUUCGAUCAAAUUAGAACGAUACAGAGAACAUUAGCAUGGUCCCUAAGCAAGGAUGACACGCAUAAAUCAAGUAAACCUUCCUAUUAGA
RNAcentral lists this small nuclear RNA (103 nucleotides) under Ipomoea nil (Japanese morning glory). Lineage: Eukaryota; Viridiplantae; Streptophyta; Magnoliopsida; Solanales; Convolvulaceae. The record is from RNAcentral.